This 434-nucleotide ribosomal RNA is filed under the name uncultured bacterium. Its description in RNAcentral is "bacterial SSU rRNA". It matches the Rfam family "Bacterial small subunit ribosomal RNA", at positions 954 to 1382 of the family's 1533-position model. The record is from RNAcentral.
AUGGGAACGCGAAGAACCUUACCUACUCUUGACAUCCAGAGAACUUAGCAGAGAUGCUUUGGUGCCUUCGGGAACUCUGAGACAGGUGCUGCAUGGCUGUCGUCAGCUCGUGUUGUGAAAUGUUGGGUUAAGUCCCGCAACGAGCGCAACCCUUAUCCUUUGUUGCCAGCGGUUAGGCCGGGAACGUACAAAGGAAGACUGCCAGUGAUAAACUAGGAGGAAGGUGAGGAUGACGUCAAGUCAUCAUGGCCCUUACGAGUAGGGCGUACACACGUGCUACAAUGGCGCAUACAAAGAGAAGCGACCUCGCGAGAGCAAGCGGACCUCAUAAAGUGCGUCGUAGUCCGGAUUGGAGUCUGCAACUCGACUCCAUGAAGUCGGAAUCGCUAGUAAUCGUAGAUCAGAAUGCUACGGUGAGUACGUUCCCGGGUCUU